CCUACGGGGGGCAGCAGUAGGGAAUAUUGCUCAAUGGGGGAAACCCUGAAGCAGCAACGCCGCGUGGAGGAUGAAGGUUUUCGGAUUGUAAACUCCUUUUGUUAGAGAAGAUAAUGACGGUAUCUAACGAAUAAGCACCGGCUAACUCCGUGCCAGCAGCCGCGGUAAUACGGAGGGUGCAAGCGUUACUCGGAAUCACUGGGCGUAAAGCGCGCGUAGGCGGGAUAGCAAGUCAGAUGUGAAAUCCUAUGGCUUAACCAUAGAACUGCAUUUGAAACUGUUAUUCUAGAGUAUGGGAGAGGUAGGUGGAAUGCGUGGUGUAGCGGUAAAAUCCGUAGAGAUCAAGAAGAAUACUCAUUGCGAAGGCGACCUGCUAGAACAUAACUGACGCUGAGGCGCGAAAGCGUGGGGAGCAAACAGGAUUAGAUACCCCGGUAGUC
RNAcentral lists this ribosomal RNA (440 nucleotides) under uncultured bacterium. RNAcentral describes it as "partial 16S ribosomal RNA". It matches the Rfam family "Bacterial small subunit ribosomal RNA", at positions 338 to 795 of the family's 1533-position model. The record is from RNAcentral.